AAACAAGGCACCUUCCAAGGUUAAUUACUUAGAAGAUACUUUUCAGAAAGGUGACCAAGACAUAUAGGGAAGAAAUUAAGGCCAAAGUCAUCCGAGGUCAGUGAUGGAUGGGGAUUUCAUUCAUUGCACGGAUGUUUCUCAAGCAUCUGCUGGGUGCCGGGCCCUGUCCCGGACAGUGGGAGACAGCGGCGAGCAGAGGCAAGUCCCGGCCUCCGUGAAGCUCCAUCCUCUGUCUGCGUCCAAAGUGGGUUCUCUGCCUCUCACGCCCCAGGCCAGGUCUGCAGGCUUCUCCCAUCACGCGGGCUGAGGCUUUAAGUGGUGAGCAGCUCUGUCUUGUGCAUGGACAGUCAAAUCCGUGGCCGGAAUUUCCCCUGCCUCUCUGCCUCUGCAUCUGAAGUUAUACCACAGCUACUCAUUCCCAUGGAUUCGAAGGCUUUUCCAUUUGGGACCCCUCCUCUUUCUCCACUCACCGUGCUCUGCCUUGGCAAAGGCUGGCAGGCCUCCGGGCUCCAUGAUUGCCAUCUUCGUCUUCCAUGGUUGUCUGACUCAUGGUGCUGCCAGAGAGAACUACACGAAAUGCACAUCUGGUCUGGUCCUCACCCCUGCUUAAGACCCUCCAUGGCUCCCAGCUGCCCUCAGGAUAAAGCCUGCACUCUCCAACCUGGCCUGCCAGGCCUAUUCUCAUGUGGGAUCCUCCUUGCCUCCAUCGUCACCUCAUUUAUCUUCUCUUUUCUCUCUCUUGCGCACCACAGUCCGUCCCUAGUGACUUACUGCAGUUGUUUCAUUAGUCCACAAGCAUUAAUUGAGCACCCACUGUGUGCUGUGUGCAGUGCCAGCAUGCCAGAAUAUAAAGAAGAGUAAGAGCCAUCCCUGAUCUUUAGAAGCCUGCAGCUCGGAGUGGAGACAGAGGAGCAGAGGGACCAUUGUGCCUCCCGUGAGUAUGGC
Molecule: long non-coding RNA, 945 nt
Filed under: Equus asinus (donkey)
Lineage: Eukaryota; Metazoa; Chordata; Mammalia; Perissodactyla; Equidae
Description: lncRNA (ENSEASG00005026965.1)
Source: RNAcentral